GACGAACGCUGGCGGCGUGCUUAACACAUGCAAGUCGAACGGAAAGGCCCCUUUGGGGGUUCUCGAGUGGCGAACGGGUGAGUAACACGUGAGUAACCUGCCCUUGACUUCGGGAUAACUUCCGGAAACUGGGGCUAAUACCGGAUAGGUAUCCUUGCUGCAUGGGGGGGGUUGGAAAGCUUCGGCGGUUUUGGCUGGACGGGGGGCUUAUCGGCUUGUUGGUGGGGUAGUGGCUUCCCAAGGCUUUGACGGGUAGCCGGCCUGAGAGGGCGACCGGCCACAUGGGGACUGCGAGACGGCGCAGACGCCUACGGGAGGCAGCAGGGGGGAAUAUUGCACAAUGGGCGGAAGCCUGAUGCAGCAACGCCGCGUGCGGGAUGACGGCUUUCGGGUUGUAAACCGCUUUCAGCAGGGGCGAAGCUUGUGGUGACGGAACCUGAAGAAGAAGAACCGGUGACUUCCGG
Molecule: ribosomal RNA, 464 nt
Filed under: uncultured bacterium
Lineage: Bacteria
Description: partial 16S ribosomal RNA
Rfam family: Bacterial small subunit ribosomal RNA
Source: RNAcentral